CCUCUACACACUGCUUUGAAUGUGUCCCAGAGAUUCUGCAUGGUUUCCUGUUAUGAGUUGUCCUGAAAUCCCCACAGGAGCAUGGAAGGACAUCCUAGGCUGUCCUAGCCACUUCCUUUAACCAGGCCCAGAUUGCUUCCACCAGGAAUGCUGAACCUGCAAUUGUUUGAAGAUACCAAUAUUAAGUCAGACGUGAAACUCCCUUUUGAUGCCUAUCACUAUGCUCUGACUCGCUGCACAACUUAACCUCUUGGUGACUCCAGUUCCUUGUUUGCAAGUGGAGAUGAACAGGUCUGCUGUGAGGAUUGAAUAGAAUAAUACAUGUAAAAGAUGCGUUAUUUGCUUGAUACCCAGCCUGGUACACAUGAAGGAUUACUAAAUAGUUUACAUGAACAUUAUUACUACCUAAUUGUUUUUAAUUCAGGAAAAUGUAGAAGCUACAACAUCAGAAUAUGCUUCUGUAGUAGUACUUUUGCCUCUAGUUCAGUACCCUGUCAACCACCACAUGAAGUGGUGUAACAAGACAUAAUUGAAACACUAUUGUAAUGAAAGGAACACUAGACAUGCAGUCAGAAAUCUGGGCUCAAUUUCUGAAAUGCAUGUAGCAUUUACCAUAUGCCAGGUACUGCUGUUAAGUAUUUAACAUACAUUAACCUAAGCUGUCAUAACAAUCCAGUAAGGUAGGUGCUGUUAUUACCCUCAUUUUCUGAUGAGGACACUGAUACAAAAGAAGUUAAGUAACUUGCUCCAAAUUAUACAUAUUUGGCAAGCUAUGGAGCCAGAAUUUGAACCCAGACAGGCAGCUUCCAGUCCAUGCUUCAUAGCCUUUGGACUCUGUGAGCUUCAGUUUUCCCAACGGCACAAUGAGAAUAAUAAUCUUACAGUCAUCUCACAGAGUCCUUGCAAGAAUUUAAUAUGAUGGUAAAUCUAAACUGCCCUGGAACUGAAAAAGACUGUACAAAUAUAAAGGAUUAUUGUUAUUAAGAUUCUUAACCAAAAUGCAUCACUAUCUGUAUAAACAAUGAGACAGGGUAUAGCUGAAGUAAUACCACUAAAGAUGUGAUGUUAUAAGCAUUCCAAGUGCCAAGUGCCAACAAAAAUAUUUUUCCCAGUGAACCUCAAUAUCUCAAUGUUAUUACCUGAAAGAGAAAUUGAAAUUAUUUAUCAUUUUUUGAAGGUACUAUUUGAACACUUAAAAUUGUUUACUCUCUAACUUUUAGAGUUAAUAUUUUUUCAGAAUGUCAAAGAAGCUCUUCUUACAUGUUCAGAAGUGACUGUAGCAGGGCAUGUUUAAAUGGGCAUGUAAAUGUGAAGUCCUGUCCUAUGAAUGGUAAACUCACAGAGUGAAUUCAUUUUGCCUUUUGGGUCAGUGUAAUUACCUAUUGAUUUUUAGGAAAGAAAGAAAAACUGACAUUCACAACCUUUGCUCUUUAAUUUCUGAACAGAAUUACGGCCUAAAUGGAAGAAUGAUGUUGUUUAUCUGUUAGCACCUUUCAGAGACAAGGCCAAUACUUCAAAUUACUUGUGCAUAAUUGGUGCUCAGUAAACAUUUUUGGGUUAAAAGCUUAACCCCAUACAGAUAGUUCCUGCUCCAUUAGACAGAUUCAUAUCACAUUCCUAAUCAAGCCUCUGAUAGGCAAUAUGCAAAAAAAUAGCAACUGUAAACCUUUAUAUCAUUCAAAGUUAUAAAAUUAUAGUCUAAGACAUCAGUGGACAUCAGCAUGCAGCAGUUUUUAAAAUUAUGUAAGUCUCAAUGUGCUGUGAAGUAUUAAAAACUAUUACCUCAACUGGGCUUGAAAUUGCUUCCAGCUAAACAAUGAAUAUUAAAUUAAAUAAUAAUGGUUUUUUUGCCUCUUAGAAUUUAUAAAUGCACUGGACUUUGCUUUGGGUAGACCACUUUUUUUUAAAG
Homo sapiens (human) is the source of this 1909-nucleotide long non-coding RNA. RefSeq lists it as uncharacterized. NCBI's taxonomy places the organism in Eukaryota, Metazoa, Chordata, Mammalia, Primates, Hominidae. The record is from RefSeq and is a predicted model, not a curated record. The transcript has 4 exons.